AACAGACCAAAUUGAACAGACCAAAUUAAAAAGACCAAAUUAAAAAAAUAUAUAUACAUUUUUUUUUUUUUCUUUAUAUGUAUAUUUACCUAGCCUAAUGAAAUUUUUAAAUUUCCAUAAUAUUCUUAAGCUUGUUUUAUUCUUUUAUUUUUACAUUUUGUUAUGUUGACAUAAUACGCCAUAAGACCUUUUUUAAAAUUUAUAUUUUCCCAAUUUUUUUUUUUUUUUUUAUCAAUAUUAAAUAUGCCAUUUUUAAUAUAUAUUUUUUAUUAGCAGUGUAGUAGUAAUCAGAAUAACGUUUAAUCCAAAAUUUCCAUUAAAAUAUAUAUAUAUAUAUAUAUAUAUAUGCAUAUGCACAGGCAUAUACAAUAAUACUCUUUUGAUUUUUAUAAAAAGCAUGUAUACAUUGCAUUGAAAAAAAAAAAAAAAAAAAAUAAUUCAUUAUCAUUUUAUGUAUAUCAUAUAUGAUAAUAUUAUUUAUUUAUAAGUUACAUCAUAUGUACAUACAUGCACACAUGUUUUUACGUUAACAAAAUGACACAUAUUGUUCACAUAUUAUUUUACACGACAUAUGUAGUAUAUAAACUUGUGCGCAUUUUAUAAAUAUACCGCGUUUCUAAUAAUUUCACUAUUAUUUAUAAAAAUAAAAUUUAGACUUUGUAUACAAAACGUAUCGAUUCUUUUUUUUUUUUUUUUUUUUUUUUUUUUUUUUUUUUUUUUUUUUUUUUAUAAAAUAUCAUACAAAUAUAUAUUUCAUCACAUAUGUGGAGACCUAUAUAACGUCACACCUACGCCAUUAUCUACAUACGUACGCCAUUAUCUACAUAUACGUGCGCCAUUAUCUACAUAUACGUGCGCNNNNNNNNNNACAUAUACGUGCGCCAUUAUCUACAUAUACGUGCGCCAUUAUCUACACACGUACGCUAUUAUCUACAUACGUACACACAUUUUUUUAUAUACCAACUUAUACAUAAACACACAUCAUUACAAUGUUCAGUGGAGACAGCAGAACCCGAAAAGUAAACCUGAGUGGGAAAAAACGAGUUAUACUUGAUCGAUAUUCGUUUAUUGAAAAUGCCAAAAAAGAAGCUAAAAAGAAAAUUGAUUUUUGCAAACAAAAGAAUAGUUUUGGUGUGAUUAGUAAUUACAUAUGUUAUAAAAAAUGUAUAGAAAAAAGAAAAAAAGAAAUACAAAUAGUUUUAUAUAAGGAUAUUAAAUGUAUAGUAUCUCCAACAAAAUCAAUAAAUACUACAAAACCGUUUAAGGGAUAUUCCCAUAAAGAAAUAUAUAAUAUUUCUUUGAAUUGUUGUUUUCUGUUUUCUACAUUAAAAUGUUACGAAUAUUACAAAAGUAUGAAUUUUAAAAAUAUGUAUGAACCAGUAAGGGACUUAUUACGUAUUAUAAAGUUUUAUAAAAAACAUAAAAUAUUGAUUAAUAAUUUUAGUUCUAUUGAUGAUAAAAAUAGAAUUAUAAAAAACAAUGAUGUAUUUUGUAAUACAAAAAAAGGAAAGAAAGAGUGUGCUAGUAUUUCUUAUUAUGAUGAAUUGAAUGAGAAUAUAGAUGUUGGUGUUUUAAAAAGCAAUUACCAUUUAAAUAAUAAAUUAGAUACAAAUUCGAUUAUAAUUAACGAAUUAGAAGAUAUAGAGAAGAAUAAAAAAAUCACAAUUGUUACAAAUUUUAAUAUAACUUAUAGAGACCUCUAUUUUAGACAUAUAAGAGAACUAAAUAUAUUGAUAAAACAUUUAGAUAUAUUAAUGGGUCAUUAUUAUAUAUAUAAUAUAAAUAUAUAUAAUGCAUAUGAUUCAAAAAAAACACAUAUAAAAGAAUGUAAUGUUUGUUUUGAUCGAUCGAGGAAUAAAAAUAGUGGUAUAAAAAAUAAUACAAACAUAGGCAAUAGCAAAGGUAAUGAUAAUGUUAAACAUUUAAUUAGUAAUCCGAUAGAUAUUGGUGGUAGUAUAAGACCAAAUUAUAUCAUGAAACAUAUGUUUUUUUUAUAUAAUAUUAAUAUAUACAAGAAAUUUGAUGAGGAUGUUACUAAAAAUUUGUUUUUAAUUAAUAAAAAUAAGGUGGAUGAGCAAAAAGAAAAAAUAAAAAAUAUCAAAAUAGACAAUAAGAUAAUACGAAAAUCUUUACAUAAUAUUUACAAAUAUAUAAAAUUAACACUUGACGGAUUAAUUAUUACUAUGAAAAUUAUAUUAGAUUUACAAAUAAAACUUAAAUGUCAGCUCCCAACACACAUGAUUCCUAUUAAUGCAAUUAUAUAUGCAUGUGAUAUGGUAUAUAUAUAUUUUUAUAAAUUAUCAAGAAGAAAAAAAUAUAUAAUUACGGAUAGUAAACUAUGUACUAAUAACAAAAGUAAAUUUUUUCAUAAAAAAAAUGAUAAUAUGUCUCAUUAUAAUAGUGAUGAUACUUGUAUGCAUCGUCAUUAUUCUAAUCAUUUAUCUCGUCUUACUCCUUGUUUUUCUCAUCCCUCCUUUCCUCGUUUUACUCGUACUAAUAUUCGCUACCCUUCCCAACCUUGUCCUAGUUCAAGUGCAAAAAUGAAUAUCCAUAUAGAUGAUAAAAAAUAUAAAUUAAGUUAUAAAAUAAAUAUAUUACUAGAUUUUAUAGUAUCCUAUAUAAUUUCCAAUAAUAACAAUUGCAAUAUGCAUUUACUUUUGGUAACAUUUUUUAAAUAUAAUAUAUACAAAAUAUUUUUACCUGAUAUUACAUUAAAAACGAUUUUAAUAAAAUUAAAAAGAAUAUUAAUUUUUGUUGUAAAAAAUAGUUAUAAAGAUAUAGAUAUGAUGAAAAUGUUAAUAUAUAAUACAGAUAGAAUUAUAAAUAAUAAUAUAUUAAGUUACGAAUAUUUUUGUUCUAUAUGUAAACAAAAAUCAAUUGAAAACUAUCAAAAAUCUGGAAUUAAUUUAUAUAAAAAUAUUUUAUUAUUUAUACAUAGUAAUAAAUAUUUGAUGGAUGAUAAUGUUUUUAAUAUUUUAUUAAGUUUUUAUUUAUUUUUACCAUUAAAAUAUCAUCCAUAUAUAUAUAUUGUAAAUGAAGAUUAUUAUAACAUGAGUCAAUCAUCAUACCCCCAAUCCAAAGUUAAUAAUAAAUUUGAUCAUUCUAAAAAAAACAAAGUAUAUAACAUAACCAAUCAUAACUUUAAUAAUAAUGUUACAAAGUGUUUUUCUAAUACAGACACUGAUGGGGAGAUAAAACAAAAGCAGGAAAAACAUAAAGUCGAUAUUUUUAAUAUUCUAUCAAAAAGCGAAUUAAUUAAUGCAAAAACUGAUAACGUAAAAAUACAAAAUCUGUUGAAUAUAUUAAAAGAGGUACAAAAAAAAAAGGAGCAACAAAAACAGGAGGAACAAAUAUCUGAUAGUCUUUUCGGAAAAUGGUUACAACCCAUAAGGAGAUCAUAUUACGAGAAUGAACAUUCAUACAGAUACAUGCAUGACGAUUUGGGUUAUUACUAUGAUAAAAAAAUAAUUGAUUCACUUAUAUAUAUAUGUAAAAAAAAUUGCUUUCACAAAUUAGAUACACUUUUAUUCAUUUUAUUACCUUUUAGAACUAUAAAUAAGUAUAUAUAUUAUAAAUAUGAUACAUAUUAUGAUUUUUUUAAAAAUAUAAGUAAAUAUGUAUGUACAGGAAGUUAUCCUGUGCAUUAUUGUAGGACGAAAAAUGGGAUGAAAUUUAAAAGUUUGUUGGGUAGAAUCAAUAUUCAUAAUAAUGGCUUUACUAACGGCAUAAUAAAUUGUAACUACUUUAAUUUAUUUUCUUUAUCAAAUUUAUUUUCUUUGAAAAGAAAAAUUAAAAAUAAUGACAUCCUUAACAACUAUGUAAUUUUAAGAAUAAUAAAACAGUUAGUACAACAUAAUAUACAUAUUUAUUUAUUAAAAAAAAUUUGUUUAUUUUGGAUUUAUAUUUGUAACUAUAAUGACUCUAUAUUUUAUAACAAUUUAUUAUUUUUUCCAUACUACGAUAAUACAGUUUUAUCUAUUUAUGUUUCUUCUUUUUGUGCACUUUUAAAUUACUAUAUUAUAUCCAAUAUGUAUAUAAAAUUAAUAAAUAUUCGAAAUUUUAAAUUUAUUCCAAAUUUUAUAUUAACAAAAGGUUUUAAAAAAGUUAGUAAAUUAUUAGCAUCUUCUUUUUGGGUAAUGUCUGGUGGAAUAGUAAAUGCAUUAGAAGAUGAAAUUUAUUUUAUGGCAUUAGAAAUUAUGAACGUUAAUAACUUGGGUACUAUUACUAGUACAUGUAGUAUAGAUAACAUUUAUGACUAUUUGGAAGAUUCAUGUAUAGAAUAUAUUAUACAAGAGGAAGAUAUAUAUAACGAUUUAGACAAAAAGAUGGAAGAACAAAUGAUUAAAAAAGAAGAGCAUAUAAUUAAAUGUUUAGAAGAACAAACUAAUAAUGACUGUAAUAUGAUUAUUCAACGUUUUUCAUUUGAAGGUCAUGGGAUUAAAAUGAAUAGUGACAAUAUGUUUAAAUCGUUUCAUUUCUUAGAUGUAUCUUUUUUUAAAAAAGAUACUAUAAAAAAAAAUAGAAAAGAGACAAAAAAUAAUAUUUAUAAUGCUUUGUGUAUUGAUAAAUGUUGGUUUAUUCGGGAUAAUUUAUUGAUUUGUAAUGAUUUUUCUGAAAAAUGUACAGACGUACGUAACGAAAACAUUUCAGUUGGAACGUAUGAUUCAGUUGGUAAACAAUAUGUGAACAAAUCGGAACAAUUACAAAAAUCAGGAAUACCUAAACAAAGUUGUAACAUAAAAGGCAGUGAUGGUAGUACUACUACUACUACUACUACCGUUGGGAGGUUAAUAAACACAGAAAGCGACUAUAAAAACAAUUACGGUUGUGUGGGAAAUGAAAAUUGUUUUAAUAAUGAUAUUGAUGCGGUGAUAAAAUGGUUAAAUGAGUUAGGAAGUGUCAGUGACAGUAGUAAUAGUAGUAG
Molecule: long non-coding RNA, 4924 nt
Organism: Piliocolobus tephrosceles (Ugandan red Colobus)
Lineage: Eukaryota; Metazoa; Chordata; Mammalia; Primates; Cercopithecidae
Source: Ensembl